AUUGAACGCUGGCGGCAGGCUUAACACAUGCAAGUCGAACGAGUGGCGGACGGGUGAGUAAUGCUUGGGAAUCUAGUUUAUGGAGGGGGAUAACUACGGGAAACUGUAGCUAAUACCGCGUACCAUAGGAUGAGCCCAUGUGGGAUUAGGUAGUUGGUGAGGUAAAGGCUCACCAAGGCGACGAUCUCUAGCUGGUCUGAGAGGAUGAACAGCCACACUGGGACUGAGACACGGCCCAGACUCCUACGGGAGGCAGCAGGGGGGAAUAUUGCGCAAUGGGGGCAACCUGACGCAGCCAUGCCGCGUGAAUGAAGAAGGCCUUCGGGUUGUAAAGUACUUUCAGUAGCGAGGCGUUACCUACAGAAGAAGCACCGGCUAACUACGUGCCAGCAGCCGCGGUAAUAC
Molecule: ribosomal RNA, 405 nt
Filed under: uncultured bacterium
Lineage: Bacteria
Description: partial 16S ribosomal RNA
Rfam family: Bacterial small subunit ribosomal RNA
Source: RNAcentral